UAUUCUUGUUGGCUUUCACAUUCAACAUCUCUUUCUCUCUCUAACCUUUUUGCUGCUAUCUCUCUCCUCAAAUCAGUGUUUUUGGGGAAAUUUUAUACCAACUUGAAGUUUUCGCAAUUUUUUUUGCUUCGCCAAUUGCAAAUGGAUUCGGUUGAACAAGUUAAUGACGAA
Chenopodium quinoa (quinoa) is the source of this 171-nucleotide long non-coding RNA. RefSeq lists it as uncharacterized. The record is from RefSeq and is a predicted model, not a curated record. The transcript has 2 exons. Lineage: Eukaryota; Viridiplantae; Streptophyta; Magnoliopsida; Caryophyllales; Amaranthaceae.